UCUGCUGCGGUUUUGUAACGGCGACAGGAUAAUGUAAACAGCUUCUUUUCUUUUCUUUGGUGCCUCAUUAAUCAUCAAUAAAAAAAUAAUUGAUUGCUCACGUGAGUUCUUUCUCUCUACCUCCUAACCCACGUGUUGGUGAAUCUGUGUUCAGAGCUAUCUGUUGAAAUGGCCAAGUCGAAGAAUCAUACCAACCACAAUCAAAG
Halichondria panicea is the source of this 206-nucleotide long non-coding RNA. RefSeq lists it as uncharacterized. The transcript is spliced from 2 exons. The record is from RefSeq and is a predicted model, not a curated record. NCBI's taxonomy places the organism in Eukaryota, Metazoa, Porifera, Demospongiae, Suberitida, Halichondriidae.